GGACGCUUGGGAAAUCUGGAGAGGCUUUUGAUUGGGAGGCAAGAGGUCACCGGUUCGACUCCGGUAUUCUCCACCA
This 76-nucleotide transfer RNA is filed under the name Arenibacter palladensis. RNAcentral's name for it is "tRNA_Pseudo_GGG". Lineage: Bacteria; Pseudomonadati; Bacteroidota; Flavobacteriia; Flavobacteriales; Flavobacteriaceae. The record is from RNAcentral.